GGGUACAAUCAUAUCAACACUAAAGCAUUAAAUUUAAUAAAAACUAUAUAGUUAAGCGUGAUUGGGAUGAGAGUAGUACUGAGAUGGGUGACUUUCUGAAAAGUUUUUGUGUUGCACCCA
RNAcentral lists this ribosomal RNA (120 nucleotides) under Zostera marina. Lineage: Eukaryota; Viridiplantae; Streptophyta; Magnoliopsida; Alismatales; Zosteraceae. The record is from RNAcentral.